AUCCGAUGAUGAGGACAGGCGAAUAUGUAUUCUUGUAGUCUCUCCCAAGCUUCUAGGACGGAUUCCAUCCCUAUCUGCUGGAAACUUAAAAUUUUCCCUCGAAGGGC
Panicum virgatum (switchgrass) is the source of this 107-nucleotide small nucleolar RNA. The record is from RefSeq and is a predicted model, not a curated record. Lineage: Eukaryota; Viridiplantae; Streptophyta; Magnoliopsida; Poales; Poaceae.